Long non-coding RNA from Coregonus clupeaformis (lake whitefish), 180 nucleotides. RefSeq lists it as uncharacterized. The record is from RefSeq and is a predicted model, not a curated record. The transcript is spliced from 3 exons. NCBI's taxonomy places the organism in Eukaryota, Metazoa, Chordata, Actinopteri, Salmoniformes, Salmonidae.
UCUCACCUCCACGAGCUUUGCAAUGAAUUUGCUCCUGACAUCAUCACAGCAAGGAAACAUACCGGUUCCAGUGCCUCCGUUCAGGUCUGUUCCAGUGCAGUAUAACAGGCCUGGUGUUUAGGAUGGAGGGAGAGGGAGAGGUGCUCUAUAGGACAGUCCCCUGGAACAGGAGGCUUCUAG